This is a long non-coding RNA of Suricata suricatta (meerkat), 829 nucleotides long. RefSeq lists it as uncharacterized. NCBI's taxonomy places the organism in Eukaryota, Metazoa, Chordata, Mammalia, Carnivora, Herpestidae. The transcript is spliced from 3 exons. The record is from RefSeq and is a predicted model, not a curated record.
GGCUCUAGAGAACAUGUGGUCCGCGUGAUCUGUAGAAGCCAGCCCUGCAUGUGCAUGUUUGCGUGUAUGUGUUUUUCCUAGGCUGACUCAUGGCACUGGAGCCCUUCUGGAAACAGCCCCACUUUUGUAGCCAGCCAGUUUACACGCACCCCUUCAGCUCCUCCUUGUUGCAAAUGCUAAGUCAAGAGGAAGAAGGAAAAUAAAUUCAAGAGCUGCUCUCGAGCAUCGAGAAGUCUCGGCACCACACCUCUUCAGAAGAGAGACCGGCCCCAGCUCUGACUCAGUCUCCUACAAAGCAGACUCUCCUCUUAAGGGACCACCUUUAUCUGAGCCUUCAGACAAAACUGGAAGAAACACGAGUCCUUGGGACUCUGCAGGCGGCGGGGGGCUGACAACCGGCAGGGAAAAGGGAAAGAUGGCAGACCCAGAAAUUGAGCUGUUCGUGAAGGUACCUUGGAGCGCACACGGCAGCUUUGGACUUGAACUACGUUUGUGAUGUAAAGUGACUGCGGGACUGUUUAUUCCUCAAGAGCGAGCAGAGAGGUGCUCUGGUGGCUCAGUCAGUGAUGUCCACCUCUGGAUUUCAGUGAACACCUGCCCGCUGAAGUGAAUGGAAUGGAUGUUCUCAUUGCUCCCCAUGCUGAGGAUGUACCAUCGGACCGUUUGAUCCUGAGCCAUGACCAAGCCGGGCAGCGUGUCCAUCACAUAGCCGUUGAUGGCUGGAGAAGAACAUGGAGAAGGCUGUUAAAGUCUAUUCUAGGGGCUCAGUCAGUGAAACGUCCGACAUCAGUUCAGGUCACGAUCUUGCGGUUUGCGGGUUCGAGCUCCG